GAUGAACGCUGGCGGCGUGCCUAAUACAUGCAAGUCGAGCGAACAGACGAGGAGCUUGCUCCUCUGACGUUAGCGGCUGACGGGUGAGUAACACGUGGAUAACCUACCUAUAAGACUGGGAUAACUUCGGGAAACCGGAGCUAAUACCGGAUAAUAUAUUGAACCGCAUGGUUCAAUAGUGAAAGACGGUUUUGCUGUCACUUAUAGAUGGAUCCGCGCCGCAUUAGCUAGUUGGUAAGGUAACGGCUUACCAAGGCAACGAUGCGUAGCCGACCUGAGAGGGUGAUCGGCCACACUGGAACUGAGACACGGUCCAGACUCCUACGGGAGGCAGCAGUAGGGAAUCUUCCGCAAUGGGCGAAAGCUUGACGGAGCAACGCCGCGUGAGUGAUGAAGGUCUUCGGAUCGUAAAACUCUGUUAUUAGGGAAGAAAAAAUGUGUAAGUAACUAUGCACGUCUUGACGGUACCUAAUCAGAAAGCCACGGCUAACUACGUG
This 497-nucleotide ribosomal RNA is filed under the name uncultured bacterium. RNAcentral describes it as "partial 16S ribosomal RNA". It matches the Rfam family "Bacterial small subunit ribosomal RNA", at positions 28 to 507 of the family's 1533-position model. The record is from RNAcentral.